AAGUCGUAACAAGGUUUCCGUAGGUGAACCUGCGGAAGGAUCAUUAUAAAAUUUUCAUAUAUUAUUUAUUUAAUAUAUAAAAUUAUAUACAAAAUGUAUUCAAAACCCACACACUUUAUAACCAAAAAAAAAAAUAUAUAUUUUAAUAUAUAUAUAAAAAAACAACUUUCAACAACGGAUCUCUUGGCUCUC
This is an unclassified non-coding RNA of 192 nucleotides. The stretch from base 1 to 46 matches the Rfam family "Eukaryotic small subunit ribosomal RNA", at positions 1786 to 1831 of the family's 1831-position model.